CUGGCCCAAAACACUCUGCAGGUUCCCCGUUUCUCCUGGUCCCUUUCUACUAGCACCAUUUUACAGCACAGUAGUUCCUCUGUGGGGCCAAGGUAUAGAGAGAAUCAGAUCUUGAAAGACUGCCUUUUCUAGCUUUAGAGGGGCAAAUUUUCUAGGGGAAAAAGUGCAUGGGGUUCUUUGAAAUUAGCUGCGGAGUAGCUGUCUGCAUUUCAGACCGAGUCUCAUCUGCAGUUUCAGGCGUGACAGAGCUGACCUUCCUCCCACCCUGCUGUGAGGAUGAAAUGCUGCUGCAGAGCGCUUUGAAGUCUCUGGAUGAAAAGCACCACAGAAGCGCCAAGUAUGAUUGUUACUCUUGCCAGCAACACUAGAAGACAGCACAAAAAUAGGAAGCAAAGAAAAUUUCAUCUUACAAAAGCUUCAGUGAGAAAAUUGGCUGGUCAGAAUGUCAUUCUCUGUUUUUGGUUCACAUAACUGGCUUUUAUAAAAUUAAAAGAAAAACAAAUGGACACAUUUCUGUCUUUGGCAAGCAGGAGCCCUUUGAUCAUCACCAUUAAUGGGACACCAGGUGAGUCACUGACGCAGAAGGGAGGUGCGUACGUGAGGAGACCUUGUCAAAUCAAUGUUUUGUACU
Molecule: long non-coding RNA, 631 nt
Filed under: Chinchilla lanigera (long-tailed chinchilla)
Lineage: Eukaryota; Metazoa; Chordata; Mammalia; Rodentia; Chinchillidae
Description: lncRNA (ENSCLAG00000027239.1)
Source: RNAcentral